AGUCUCUGGAUAUAGACCCGAAACCAGGUGAUCUAGCCAUGGGCAGGUUGAAGGUUGAGUAACAUCAACUGGAGGACCGAACCGACUAAUGUUGAAAAAUUAGCGGAUGACUUGUGGCUAGGGGUGAAAGGCCAAUCAAACCUGGAGAUAGCUGGUUCUCCCCGAAAGCUAUUUAGGUAGCGCCUCGGACGAAUACUACUGGGGGUAGAGCACUGUUAAGGCUAGGGGGUCAUCCCGACUUACCAACCCUUUGCAAACUCCGAAUACCAGUAAGUACUAUCCGGGAGACACACGGCGGGUGCUAACGUCCGUCGUGGAGAGGGAAACAACCCAGACCGCCAGCUAAGGUCCCAAAUUACUACUAAGUGGGAAACGAUGUGGGAAGGCUCAGACAGCCAGGAUGUUGGCUUAGAAGCAGCCAUCAUUUAAAGAAAGCGUAAUAGCUCACUGGUCGAGUCGGCCUGCGCGGAAGAUGUAACGGGGCUAAGUAGUAAACCGAAGCUGCGGCAAUAUACUUUUGUAUAUUGGGUAGGGGAGCGUUCUGUAAGCGGUUGAAGGUGUGUGGUAACGCAUGCUGGACGUAUCAGAAGUGCGAAUGCUGACAUGAGUAACGAUAAAGGGGGUGAAAAACCUCCUCGCCGGAAGACCAAGGGUUCCUGUCCAACGUUAAUCGGGGCAGGGUAAGUCGACCCCUAAGGCGAGGCCGAAAGGCGUAGUCGAUGGGAAACGGGUUAAUAUUCCCGUACUUCUUACAAUUGCGAUGGGGGGACGGAGAAGGCUAGGUGGGCCUGGCGACGGUUGUCCAGGUUCAAGUGCGUAGGCUUAAGAGUUAGGUAAAUCCGGCUCUUUUUAAGGCUGAGACACGACGUCGAGCACCUACGGGUGUGAAGUCAUUGAUGCCAUGCUUCCAGGAAAAGCCUCUAAGCUUCAGAUUGUAAGGAAUCGUACCCCAAACCGACACAGGUGGUCGGGUAGAGAAUACCAAGGCGCUUGAGAGAACUCGGGUGAAGGAACUAGGCAAAAUGGUACCGUAACUUCGGGAGAAGGUACGCUCUUGAUGGUGAAGUCCCUUGCGGAUGGAGCUGACGAGAGUCGCAGAUACCAGGUGGCUGCAACUGUUUAUUAAAAACACAGCACUGUGCAAAAUCGUAAGAUGACGUAUACGGUGUGACGCCUGCCCGGUGCCGGAAGGUUAAUUGAUGGGGUUAGACUUCGGUCGAAGCUCUUGAUCGAAGCCCCGGUAAACGGCGGCCGUAACUAUAACGGUCCUAAGGUAGCGAAAUUCCUUGUCGGGUAAGUUCCGACCUGCACGAAUGGCGUAAUGAUGGCCACGCUGUCUCCACCCGAGACUCAGUGAAAUUGAAAUCGCUGUGAAGAUGCAGUGUACCCGCGGCUAGACGGAAAGACCCCGUGAACCUUUACUACAGCUUGGCACUGAACAUUGACCCUACAUGUGUAGGAUAGGUGGGAGGCUUUGAAGCACGUACGCCAGUAUGUGUGGAGCCGUCCUUGAAAUACCACCCUUGUAGUGUUGAUGUUCUAACGUCGACCCCUUAUCGGGGUUGCGGACAGUGCCUGGUGGGUAGUUUGACUGGGGCGGUCUCCUCCCAAAGAGUAACGGAGGAGCACGAAGGUGGGCUAAUCACGGUUGGACAUCGUGAGGUUAGUGCAAUGGCAUAAGCCCGCUUGACUGCGAGAAUGACAAUUCGAGCAGGUGCGAAAGCAGGUCAUAGUGAUCCGGUGGUUCUGAAUGGAAGGGCCAUCGCUCAACGGAUAAAAGGUACUCCGGGGAUAACAGGCUGAUACCGCCCAAGAGUUCAUAUCGACGGCGGUGUUUGGCACCUCGAUGUCGGCUCAUCACAUCCUGGGGCUGAAGUCGGUCCCAAGGGUAUGGCUGUUCGCCAUUUAAAGUGGUACGCGAGCUGGGUUUAGAACGUCGUGAGACAGUUCGGUCCCUAUCUGCCGUGGGCGUUGGAAGAUUGAAGGGGGCUGCUCCUAGUACGAGAGGACCGGAGUGGACGAACCUCUGGUGUUCGGGUUGUGUCGCCAGACGCAUUGCCCGGUAGCUAAGUUCGGAAUCGAUAACCGCUGAAAGCAUCUAAGCGGGAAGCGAGCCCUGAGAUGAGUCUUCCCUGAUACUUUAAGUAUCCUAAAGGGUUGUCGGAGACUACGACGUUGAUAGGUCAGGUGUGUAAGUGCUGUGAGGCAUUGAGCUAACUGAUACUAAUUGCCCGUGAGGCUUAACCAUACAACACCCAAGGGGUUU
This 2266-nucleotide ribosomal RNA is filed under the name Vibrio parahaemolyticus. Its description in RNAcentral is "partial 23S ribosomal RNA". It matches the Rfam family "Bacterial large subunit ribosomal RNA", at positions 698 to 2925 of the family's 2925-position model. Lineage: Bacteria; Pseudomonadati; Pseudomonadota; Gammaproteobacteria; Vibrionales; Vibrionaceae. The record is from RNAcentral.